RNAcentral lists this ribosomal RNA (338 nucleotides) under uncultured bacterium. RNAcentral describes it as "bacterial SSU rRNA". It matches the Rfam family "Bacterial small subunit ribosomal RNA", at positions 29 to 359 of the family's 1533-position model. The record is from RNAcentral.
AACGAACGCUGGCGGCGCGCCUAAUACAUGCAAGUCGAGCGAGAAGACGUAGCAAUACGUUUGUAAAGCGGCGAACGGGUGAGGAAUACAUGGGUAACCUACCCUCGAGUGGGGAAUAACUAGCCGAAAGGUUAGCUAAUACCGCGUACGCUCCUUGGACUUCGGUUCAGGGAGGAAAGCGAUACCGUGGGUAUCGCGCUCUUGGAUGGGCUCAUGUCCUAUCAGCUUGUUGGUGGGGAACGGCUCACCAAGGCUUCGACGGGUAGCUGGUCUGAGAGGACAAUCAGCCACACUGGCACUGCGACACGGGCCAGACUCCUACGGGAGCAGCAGUAAGG